Long non-coding RNA from Ailuropoda melanoleuca (giant panda), 1906 nucleotides. The record is from Ensembl. NCBI's taxonomy places the organism in Eukaryota, Metazoa, Chordata, Mammalia, Carnivora, Ursidae.
ACAGCAUCCUGCUCCGCACGCCCCGUCGAACCCCAGGGCCUGCGUACUGAGCAUGCGCAGUUUGUUUGCCUGAGCCAGGAACCUAGUCAACUCGAGAAUCCCACGCUGGGCAUUUGGGGGAAGCAAGAUGUUAGCGGGGCCAGGGCAAUCUGCUGGCUUUAACGUGAGGCGGAGAGUGACAAGAAGAAACGGACAAGGUCCAAAAGGAGGUCUUGGCGAGGGAUUUUGUUUGACACCACCCAGUGUCUCAGUACUCCUGAGAGCUUUGCUUUUUAUCUUGCAUAAACAUAACAAGAAGUUUUGAGGGGACGAACAUUAACACAACGAACUGAAGCUUUGUUUUAAGCGUCAGAACACUAAGGAAGAGGUUACAGAGCCCCUUCUGCCCACAGCCCGAGGCGGCGAAGGCGAGACCGGCCCACGCCUCAGCCCACCCCAGCCCCGCCCUGCUCCAGCUCCGGACUGGUGUCGAGCUCUUCCCACGCCCUCUCAGCUACGGGCACUUGGAAAACCGGGAGAACGGAGCUCCAAGCUGCAAGAGAAAGCCCAGGGCCACCUCAUAGCAACAGCUAGCCCGGGCACCUAGUAGGAAGCUGGGAUUCAUUCCAACCAACCAGAUCACGUUUCUGUACCCCGUGGUACCACUCUCGGCCAAUAGAGAGCCACUUCAUGCCACGUGACACCCACCCGUCAGCCAAUGGAGGAAACUCUAGACGCAGGAUCACCAACUCACCUCCCUUUGCCUGGCCAGGCUGGGGGUUUGCUUCUGCGCACGCUCCGCCAACCAAUCGUAGGUCCCCAGAAGUUGAGAAGCUCUGGACUACAGUGCAUCUGAUAGAAGUUGUCACAAAAAAAAAAAAAAAAUAGUGAGUGGGCUCCCUAGUCACUCCACUUAACACAAUAAAGAGUAGGAGAGCUUUUUGAAAUUUUUCAGGCUGUUUUCUCUGACCUUUCAUUACUGCUGACUUUUCCUGAUAAGGAGAAGUAUACAGACUGCAGCCCUUAGGGUAGUUGCACCUCAUUUAUAUUUCUCAUCUUGAUAUUUGAUAUGCAUUCUCGAUGAAUUCAUAUUCAUUUGAUAUUCAUUCUCAAUGUUACCAUAAGGGUAGAAUUUUAACCACUAAUAAGCAAAAGAAACAUGAUAAGCAGGGCAUAUUUUCUUUCCUAUUCUGUCUUAUAUGAUGGUACUUACCUAAUUUGAGGCUGUAUGUGAAAUACUGGUUGAAGGAUUAGCUGCCAUAAGAAAGGAUAUCAGAAUGUGUAGAGAAUUUUGAAGAUUUGGUAGGGAGAUGGGUGUCUGUCUCCUGAUUUCUUAAUCAUGUUCAUUUUUAUGCCAGCAUGAACUAUCUAUUCUGAGAGUGAUUUUGGAAAUAAAAACUUACGUAUCCAUUCAUUUGUUUGUGGGAAAGACAAAAUAAAAAUGAGAUAAAAUGAAAUUGAAUUUUCUCCAAGAGCUGUAAAUCUGUAUGAUAGUGAAAACACUGUGCACUGACACUUUAGGGCCUCUUUAGCUUCAGAAAGGCAUUACUGGAAGAAAAAAAAAAAGAAAAGAAAAACUUCAUUUCUCCUCUCCCCACUAAAUCUGAGAGUUAUCUCGCCUAUGCCCAGGUACCCUCAACUGUCACACUUGUGUUACUAUGGAAACCCAGCUCCUUUCUUUGCUUCGCUGAAAGAUGUUGGAAAAGGUGGGUUGAAGUGGGAAAUACACUGUGUUCAGGGACUUUCUGACUAGAGCAAGAGGCAAGUCUGUAAAGAAUUUAAUAUAAACAAGUUAGAAGAGGAUGUUUGUAAUAUUAGCAGGGCUUCUUAUCUAUAAAACCCUGAUUCCUAUUGCUUCCUAUUAAGGCCUACGUAAGUGUGAGUAACCAUUAAGGGGAAGGGCAAGUCAAGUACAUUUUGAGCAGAA